UACGGAGGGUGCAAGCGUUAAUCGGAAUUACUGGGCGUAAAGCGCGCGUAGGCGGCUUGGUCAGUGAGGUGUGAAAGCCCUGGGCUCAACCUGGGAACUGCAUCUCAUACUGCCAGGCUAGAGUAUGAUAGAGGAAGUGGAAUUCCGAGGUGUAGCGGUGAAAUGCGUAGAUAUCUGGAGGAACAUCAGUGGCGAAGGCGACUUCCUGGAUCAAUACUGACGCUGAGGUGCGAAAAGCGUGGGGAGCAAACAGGAUUAAGAUACCCGGGGUAGUCC
Molecule: ribosomal RNA, 276 nt
Filed under: uncultured bacterium
Lineage: Bacteria
Description: partial 16S ribosomal RNA
Rfam family: Bacterial small subunit ribosomal RNA
Source: RNAcentral